AGGGGCAGCAUGGUCUUAGCUUGCUAAGGCUGAUGGCGACCGGCGCACGGGUGAGUAACACGUAUCCAACCUCCCGCAUACUCGGGAAUAGCCUUUCGAAAGAAAGAUUAAUACCCGAUGGCAUAGUUCUUCCGCAUGGUAGAACUAUUAAAGAAUUUCGGUCAUCGAUGGGGAUGCGUUCCAUUAGGCAGUUGGUGAGGUAACGGCUCACCAAACCUUCGAUGGAUAGGGGUUCUGAGAGGAAGGUCCCCACAUUGGAACUGAGACACGGCCCAAACUCC
RNAcentral lists this ribosomal RNA (281 nucleotides) under uncultured Bacteroides sp. RNAcentral describes it as "partial 16S ribosomal RNA". It matches the Rfam family "Bacterial small subunit ribosomal RNA", at positions 65 to 339 of the family's 1533-position model. The record is from RNAcentral. Lineage: Bacteria; Pseudomonadati; Bacteroidota; Bacteroidia; Bacteroidales; Bacteroidaceae.